GACGAACGCUGGCGGCGUGCUUAACACAUGCAAGUCGAACGGAAAGGCCCUGCUUUUGUGGGGUGCUCGAGUGGCGAACGGGUGAGUAACACGUGAGUAACCUGUCCUUGACUUUGGGAUAACUUCAGGAAACUGGGGCUAAUACCGGAUAGGAGCUCCUGCUGCAUGGUGGGGGUUGGAAAGUUUCGGCGGUUGGGGAUGGACUCGCGGCUUAUCAGCUUGUUGGUGGGGUAGUGGCUUACCAAGGCUUUGGCGGGUAGCCGGCCUGAGAGGGUGACCGGCCACAUUGGGACUGAGAUACGGCCCAGACUCCUACGGGAGGCAGCAGUGGGGAAUAUUGCACAAUGGGCGGAAGCCUGAUGCAGCAACGCCGCGUGCGGGAUGACGGCCUUCGGGUUGUAAACCGCUUUCGCCUGUGACGAAGCGUGAGUGACGGUAAUGGGUAAAGAAGCACCGGCUAACUACGUG
This 468-nucleotide ribosomal RNA is filed under the name uncultured bacterium. RNAcentral's name for it is "partial 16S ribosomal RNA". It matches the Rfam family "Bacterial small subunit ribosomal RNA", at positions 28 to 507 of the family's 1533-position model. The record is from RNAcentral.